Molecule: non-coding RNA, 2945 nt
Organism: Peromyscus maniculatus bairdii (prairie deer mouse)
Lineage: Eukaryota; Metazoa; Chordata; Mammalia; Rodentia; Cricetidae
Source: RefSeq, a predicted model, not a curated record
GCCGAGGCCCGAAGAGGGUGUCAGGAACCAGAGUUACAGAUGGCUAUGAGCAUCCACAUAGGUGCUGGGGAUUCAACCUGGGUCCUCUAGACGAGCAGCCAGUGCGUGCUCUUAACUUCUGAGCCAUCUCUCUGGCUGGGUGUUUUCUCUGGAUCAUCAAAUGAGCGAUGUGUUAGACCACAACUAAGAAUAAAAAAACCCCACACUAUCUGGAACCUUCUAUGAAGUUUUAACACUGUAGCUGGGACGACACCAUGCAGACACACAAAACAAGGGAAUAAUAGUACGGACUAGAAUUAACAAGCUGCGUGCUGCGACGUGGACUUCAUGAAAGAGGUGACAUCCUUGGAGAGUUUGAGAUGACAUGUUCUUGAAGUUGGGAAGCAACACUAAGUCUGUGUUGUAUGGAGGACAACAUGAGAAGAAGCAAGAAGACCAGCCCUGGACCGCUCAGAUGUGAAUACAAUGACAUCCCGAAUAAAAACACCUACUGGACUGCGUAGCAUCUCACUAUGGGGAACAAGUGCUUAUUAAACCCAGACUGUUGAAUGCUUCGGAACUUCUAGAUGGCGACUGUCACGAUCCUAAUGCUUUUAGGGGCUGCUGCCAACACUGUUCAUUGGUUGUUCAAGUUAAAAUGCCGGUGGAAGGCGGGAUCUUGUCUCGACUGCUGUUCACAACAGAAGGUCAGAAGAUGAAUUCUGAGUGAGAACCGGAGCUAAACUGGCCCCUUUCAAUGUGUGCUUCGAUGAGGUGUUUUGGAUGGAGCUUUUAUUGGUCAAGCUUGAAAGGGUUCUUUUCUGUAUCAAAGUCACAAAUCUUGGUUUGCCUGAGUUGAGAUCUCUGAGAGAGUCAAUGAACUCCUGACGCUGCUAAGGGGGUCACUGUGAAGUUGCACCUCUGUUGCUGACAAGAGCCCACUGUGAUUCUGUACUGGGACCGGAGGCUGAAGAAUUUCCAUUCCCAGCGAUAAACGCUGAGGGUGAAGACCGAUGAACGCUACCUGCCCUUACCGGAAGCGACGGCCUCUGCUCUCUACCUUAAGCUAGUAGACUGCUAUUGGAGGAGUAAGAAAAAGAAAUGCAUCAGGCCCUCUGAAUAGGGAGUUUAGGAAGCUGGGCUGCCAUCUGUAGACCCAGAUGAGGAGAGAAGUGACAUUCACAGUCUACCUCUGGGGGAGGGAAAUACUUCCGAACUCGAACUCAGCGAACCAUUCUCCAAGUUGUGGUGUGGAGCAGAGGACUUGAGCGCUCUCACCUCCACAGGGAUUGAAAUGGAUUCGCACAGGCCAUGAAGUGACAAUUUAAAGAUUGUCCUUUUGAUCUUCACUCUUGGGUGCACUCUUUUGCUCGGCCUGUGCUUUUUGGACAAACCGUAUUUAGCUUUCCUAACAGCAUCUGGAAGACAUUCAUUCUGCUUUUGUUUAGGACUCCAAUCACCAUGGCACGUGUUGGAGUCCUCUUGAGAUGGCAUUAAUGCCCCUGCCUGGUUACUGGAAGCUCUUGGCCUUUUCAGAGGAAAGGCCCUGGGAUUCCUUCUUCUGAGCCCGUGAAUCAACUCCGUCAGAUGCCCUCCCACUUGCAAGCUGGCAUUAGUUCAGUGGACUUCCUCUGAGCAAGCCAAGCAAAUUCUCGAAAUGCCAGAUGGGAGAUGGAAAUGCAAAGGUCACCGUUCUCCUCGCCGCUGCCCCCGUUCCCACCCCAGCUAUGAGUGUGAGAAGUUCAGAUUACUGCAGAAGACAUCAGGCCGCUGGGCCGCUCAGAACUACUGUGGUCUGUGCCCGCCUAUAGGCUCUGUUUUCUGUAUCAUAAAACGAGUGUUUGUGUUUGCAACCCCGGAGCUCAACUCUCCUGACCCCGGUCCCCAGCUCUCCACCGCCGAUGAAUGCACAUCAUUUCUGCGUGUGCCUUGUUGGACGGCCCCUUCUCCAAGCGUCUGUGGGUGGUUUCCCUGCGCAGAAUGACAAGGGCAAAGAUUCGUGAAGGGGAAGACAGUUCACAGUAUUUUACAGAUGCCAACAAUACUGUGGGAUCAUGGCCUGCUGUCUGUCCUGUGCAAGUGAGGUCACUGCCACUCAGGGAGCUUCAGAAAUGAUCAAAGGCUGACCAAACUAGACAGCAGGAAUUCAAAGGUCUGGCUGCCUCUGACCUGGCGCCCAGAGUCUGCAGUCCUGCAUUUUGAGCAGAAUGGAAGAAAAUCUAAUUAGAAAUCAAGGAAGGCAGUUGGAUCACCGUGGUAACAAGGAUGGCGCUGUAAUGUCGUUGACUAUGGAGUUCAAACACCUGUCGACCUCGGACCUUAUCCAAGCGCGGAACUCAAUCUCCAGACUCACCCAGCAACAGUACAAAGGCAACAGAAGAGAUCGGAGAAGCAGCUAGAGGCAGCAACUGGAGGCCCCACCCCCUGGAAGAGGGCCACAGAGCUUCCGAGGGUUCAGAACCGUGCAUGGGUCUGUGGAUGAGAAGUCAUGGAAUGCCGCUGUGUCUGCAGAGACAGACUGACAGACUAGAAUUGCAGUACCAUGGAGAUGUUGGGAUGUUGCAAGUCCAGAGGCUACCUUAUUUGGGGUUGGUUCUAGCCUUCCUAAAGGGCCAUGCCUUGCUCACCUCUGUGUCAGAACUCACAUCUUGUGACUAAUAGAUAAAAAGCUUUUGGAAUCUAUGGACUGGGCAGGCCAAUGGUUUCCACCCACCCCACAGUUGAGAAAGUCGUCAGAGAGCAUUGUGGGUCUUUGGAAAAAGCGUCCUCCAGCCUGCUGCCUCUCUGGUGGACCCACUGAUGUAUUUUGAACUUGCCUCUGUUGAUGACUUUCUUUGUAAGUCUGCAAAACUAUAAACCUCCAUGAAACUGCUUCCACAUUGGAAUGUGGAAUUUGGGGGUAACCUAAAUCUGUGGUCUUGGGCUAUGGUCACUCAGAAUGGCUCCAGAACAAACUAUCUCUUUUC